CCUACGGGAGGCAGCAGUGAGGAAUAUUGGUCAAUGGGCGAGAGCCUGAACCAGCCAAGUCGCGUGAAGGAUGACGGCCCUACGGGUUGUAAACUUCUUUUGUCAGGGAGCAAUUGGGUCCACGCGUGGGCUUAGCGAGAGUACCUGAAGAAAAAGCAUCGGCUAACUCCGUGCCAGCAGCCGCGGUAAUACGGAGGAUGCGAGCGUUAUCCGGAUUUAUUGGGGUUAAAGGGUGCGUAGGCGGAAUAUCAAGUCAGCGGUAAAAAUUCGGGGCUCAACCCCGUCGUGCCGUUGAAACUGAUGUUCUUGAGUGCACACAGGGAUGCCGGAAUUCAUGGUGUAGCGGUGAAAUGCUUAGAUAUCAUGAAGAACUCCGAUCGCGAAGGCAAGUGUCCGGGGUGCAACUGACGCUGAGGCUCGAAAGUGCGGGUAUCAAACAGGAUUAGAUACCCUAGUAGUC
Molecule: ribosomal RNA, 460 nt
Filed under: uncultured bacterium
Lineage: Bacteria
Description: partial 16S ribosomal RNA
Rfam family: Bacterial small subunit ribosomal RNA
Source: RNAcentral